GACGAACGCUGGCGGCGUGCUUAACACAUGCAAGUCGAACGGAAAGGCCCUGCUUUUGUGGGGUGCUCGAGUGGCGAACGGGUGAGUAACACGUGAGUAACCUGCCCUUGACUUUGGGAUAACUUCAGGGAACUGGGGCUAAUACCGGAUAGGAGCUCCUGCUGCAUGGUGGGGGUUGGAAAGUUUCGGCGGUUGGGGAUGGACUCGCGGCUUAUCAGCUUGUUGGUGGGGUAGUGGCUUACCAAGGCUUUGACGGGUAGCCGGCCUGAGAGGGUGACCGGCCACAUUGGGACUGAGAUACGGCCCAGACUCCUACGGGAGGCGGCAGUGGGGAAUAUUGCACAAUGGGCGGAAGCCUGAUGCAGCAACGCCGCGUGCGGGAUGACGGCCUUCGGGUUGUAAACCGCUUUCGCCUGUGACGAAGCGUGAGUGACGGUAAUGGGUAAAGAAGCACCGGCUAACUACGUG
RNAcentral lists this ribosomal RNA (468 nucleotides) under uncultured bacterium. Its description in RNAcentral is "partial 16S ribosomal RNA". It matches the Rfam family "Bacterial small subunit ribosomal RNA", at positions 28 to 507 of the family's 1533-position model. The record is from RNAcentral.